RNAcentral lists this ribosomal RNA (357 nucleotides) under uncultured Lactobacillus sp. RNAcentral describes it as "bacterial SSU rRNA". It matches the Rfam family "Bacterial small subunit ribosomal RNA", at positions 50 to 383 of the family's 1533-position model. Lineage: Bacteria; Bacillati; Bacillota; Bacilli; Lactobacillales; Lactobacillaceae. The record is from RNAcentral.
AAUACAUGCAAGUCGAACGAAACUUUCUUACACCGAAUGCUUGCAUUCACCGUAAGAAGUUGAGUGGCGGACGGGUGAGUAACACGUGGGUAACCUGCCUAAAAGAAGGGGAUAACACUUGGAAACAGGUGCUAAUACCGUAUAUCUCUAAGGAUCGCAUGAGUCUUAGAUGAAAGAUGGUUCUGCUAUCGCUUUUAGAUGGACCCGCGGCGUAUUAACUAGUUGGUGGGGUAACGGCCUACCAAGGUGAUGAUACGUAGCCGAACUGAGAGGUUGAUCGGCCACAUUGGGACUGAGACACGGCCCAAACUCCUACGGGAGGCAGCAGUAGGGAAUCUUCCACAAUGGACGCAAGUC